Molecule: long non-coding RNA, 340 nt
Organism: Ailuropoda melanoleuca (giant panda)
Lineage: Eukaryota; Metazoa; Chordata; Mammalia; Carnivora; Ursidae
Exons: 3
Source: RefSeq, a predicted model, not a curated record
GCCCGGCUUCUCUCCCCGCCUUGAAAAAUAAAAAGGUCUCGAUGUCCGUAAAAGCCUUGAGAUGCUGAAGCUAGAGAACAACACGUCUAGAACACAAACACGGUGGCUUUUCUGGUGCUUUUCGCUGAUCUGAGGUAAUCUGCAGAGCAUAUUAUAUGAGUAGAUGACAGCAGACAUUACAUCUUGGAGGAGCUGGGCAACAGAAAGGAGCAUGGAGAAGGAUAAGGCCACUCUAGGGGUACUUGGAAGAAGCCCUCAGGUAUGGAGUCCAAAUUACUCUGCAUCACCAAGGUUAUGGUAAAUAAAACAGUGGAAAAAAGCAAGAACAGAUGUGAACGGU